Molecule: ribosomal RNA, 194 nt
Filed under: uncultured bacterium
Lineage: Bacteria
Description: partial 16S ribosomal RNA
Rfam family: Bacterial small subunit ribosomal RNA
Source: RNAcentral
GAAACUCGCCUAUAUGAAGUCGGAAUUGCUAGUAAUCGCAGAUCAGCAUGCUGCGGUGAAUACGUUCCCGGGCCUUGUACACACCGCCCGUCACACCAUGAGAGUCGAUAACACCCGAAGCCUGUAGUCUAACCAUAAGGGGGACGCAGUCGAAGGUGGGAUUGAUAAUUAGGGUGAAGUCGUAACAAGGUAGC